Molecule: long non-coding RNA, 1071 nt
Filed under: Oryctolagus cuniculus (rabbit)
Lineage: Eukaryota; Metazoa; Chordata; Mammalia; Lagomorpha; Leporidae
Description: lncRNA (ENSOCUG00000036611.1)
Source: RNAcentral
AUGGUCCCAUUUGCAUCUGGAAACCCGGAGCUUCGAGAGAAGCCAGCCACCCGGGCAUGCAGGGGGCCGAGAGCCGAGAACGUGGCAGGGCAGCCCGGCCAGCAGGGAGGGGUGUGUGCUGGCGUCCCCCGGGAGCGCCCGGCUCUGUCCUCCUCUUCUGCACGGCCCGGGGUGGGGUCUUUCUCCCAUUGCACCUCCCUUUCGUUCAGGUGUAAAAUGGAGCCAGAAGCCUCCUGCCUGACGGGCUUGUUGAGGGGCUUGAAUGGGGGCGGGAACUGGGGGUGGGACAGGCCAGUGCUGGCUUCCCUGGGAGCUUUGCUAUUCUCCUCACUGGAGAGAACUUUCGUUCAAGACCCCGAGGUGCCCACUCCUCCUCAGCGGGCAGGGCAAACCCCUGAGUCUCCGAGCUGUGGCUCCCUGUGGGUCAGACCCCAGUGCACCCCGCGCCCCAGGAGCUGCAGCCAACAGAUCGGCUCUUGUCACUUGUUUUGUCGCCACUGCUCUGUCGAGGCUGUGAGCGGUGAAAGGACGGAAAGAGAAGUUCUGAUGCUGAAGACAGAGAGGGGCGGGGACCGGGCAGCUGGGAGUCGGCCCGCAGGGCCUGCGGCUCCUGGCCAUGUCUCCCAGCUUCUCUGGAAGCGCUGGGCAGACACCGAGUGGCCCUCUUGCUUCAUCUCCUGCGGGGCGUUGCGACAUCGGCGCAGGGUAAGGAGUGGAGCUGGCCUGCGAGAGCCGCCUGAGUCAUGGGAACCUGGGAGCUUCUCUGGGGAGUGUCCUGCAGCUGGGGCGGGGCCUGGCCGGGGGAGACCUCGUUGUGCAAGGAGCCACCUGCCAGGAGCACCCCGGGUCUGCGUGGAGGCCCAGGGAUCUCUGGGGGCCUGCGGAAAACUGGAGUGGCUGCUUUGUCCUCCCAGUCGGGGUGGGGAGGGGGCUCAGCCGGGACUCCGGUGGUCUCCGGAGCAGACCAGCAGGCCAGGGCUACUUCUGCCCCUCUCCCGUUGUUCCACCUGCCGCAUGAGCUGGAGCAAGUCGGAGUGUCGGGCUUCCUGUCAGCUAAGGGAAGUGGUCUGA